This 815-nucleotide long non-coding RNA is filed under the name Mytilus galloprovincialis (Mediterranean mussel). The record is from RNAcentral. Lineage: Eukaryota; Metazoa; Mollusca; Bivalvia; Mytilida; Mytilidae.
UGUCAAUUUGCUUUUCAAAUAUAUUUGAAUUGGGGUAUAUAACUGCAUCUGCACGUACAUACGUUAAUGAGUUGGCGUUUAUAAAAAACUAUCAAGUUAUUCAUAUUCUUUAUGUAUGACUUAAAUCGCCUAAUUUGUAUAAUACUGCCUUUUUUGAAUGGUUUGUAGUGUGGCGUUUUUCAAUGAGCCUUAGUUUUUAUUCGAAAGAUAAAAAAAAUAAUAUCGAACCUGUUGUGUAAGCGUUCCAGUCCAAAUUAUGAACCCUUGUCAGUGGUUGUUUUUCAUUUUUGUUUUUAGAUUUGUUUGCUUAUUUUUCUUAUCUGGUGUGUUUUGGUAAUUUUUAUUAAAAUAAAACCCAAAUUGUCGAUCUUGGUUUUGAAAUAUGACCAUUCGGACUUCACUUAACUAAAUUGGUAGCAAGAAAUGAAUGUUUAAGUGACUGCUUGUUUGGUCGUCUGGGAUGUAUAACUAUGCAGUCCUAUGGGGUUAGAUGGGAACAUUUAAAACCAAUGUUUCGUUGAGGGUGAGUUCCACGUUUACAAAACGUAUCAGAAAAAAAAAAUCAAAUUUUAAACUAGACUUUCCAUUCUCAAUUUUAUUUAGUCAAGAGAACUGUAAGCUGCAUUUCUGUAAAUGUAGAUUAUUUCCUAUAGGAACUCCCUUUGCGGCUAAACUGUGACACUUUUACUAUGACGUUUCGUAAUUUUUUUUCCCUAGAAUGGAAAGUUGAUAUGCUCUACUAUUUUAUGCAAAGUUCAAAAUUCUAUACUACCCUCUCCCUUUACUUUUUCCCUACUUCAGAAUUUAUUUUUCAC